Molecule: ribosomal RNA, 497 nt
Filed under: uncultured bacterium
Lineage: Bacteria
Description: partial 16S ribosomal RNA
Rfam family: Bacterial small subunit ribosomal RNA
Source: RNAcentral
GAUGAACGCUGGCGGCGUGCCUAAUACAUGCAAGUCGAGCGAACAGAUGAGGAGCUUGCUCCUCUGACGUUAGCGGCGGACGGGUGAGUAACACGUGGAUAACCUACCUAUAAGACUGGGAUAACUUCGGGAAACCGGAGCUAAUACCGGAUAAUAUAUUGAACCGCAUGGUUCAAUAGUGAAAGACGGUUUUGCUGUCACUUAUAGAUGGAUCCGCGCCGCAUUAGCUAGUUGGUAAGGUAACGGCUUACCAAGGCAACGAUGCGUAGCCGACCUGAGAGGGUGAUCGGCCACACUGGAACUGAGACACGGUCCAGACUCCUACGGGAGGCAGCAGUAGGGAAUCUUCCGCAAUGGGCGAAAGCCUGACGGAGCAACGCCGCGUGAGUGAUGAAGGUCUUCAGAUCGUAAAACUCUGUUAUUAGGGAAGAACAAAUGUGUAAGUAACUAUGCACGUCUUGACGGUACCUAAUCAGAAAGCCACGGCUAACUACGUG